GACGAACGCUGGCGGCGUGCUUAACACAUGCAAGUCGAACGGAAAGGCCCUGCUUUUGUGGGGUGCUCGUUUGGCGAGCGGGUGAGUAACACGUGAGUAACCUGCCCUUGUCUUUGGGAUAACUUCAGGAGACUGGGGCUAUUACCGCAUAGGAGCUCCUGCUGCACGGUGGGGGUUGGAAAGUUUCGGCUGUGGUGGAUGGACUCGAGGCUUAUCCGCUUGUUGGUGGGGUAGUUACUUACCAAGGCUUUGACGGGUAGGCGGCCUGAGAGCGUGACCGGCCUCACUGGGACUGAGAUACGGCGCAGUCUGGAACCGGACGCAACAGUGGGGAAUCUUACACAGUAGCCCGGAGUCUGAUGUGACAGCGCUCCGAUCGGGAAGACGGGUUUCGAGUUGUGAACCGAUGUGUAAUGAGCUGAGGCCAUAGUGACGGUACCGGGUAAGAAAGCACCGGCUAACUACGUG
Molecule: ribosomal RNA, 468 nt
Filed under: uncultured bacterium
Lineage: Bacteria
Description: partial 16S ribosomal RNA
Rfam family: Bacterial small subunit ribosomal RNA
Source: RNAcentral